This 253-nucleotide ribosomal RNA is filed under the name uncultured bacterium. RNAcentral describes it as "partial 16S ribosomal RNA". It matches the Rfam family "Bacterial small subunit ribosomal RNA", at positions 524 to 776 of the family's 1533-position model. The record is from RNAcentral.
GACGAACCGUGCGAACGUUGUUCGGAAUCACUGGGCUUAAAGGGCGCGUAGGCGGGUGGCCAAGUCAGAGGUGAAAUCCCACGGCUCAACCGUGGAAGUGCCCCUGAAACUGGUCAUCUCGAGGGAGGUAGGGGCGUGCGGAACUUCCGGUGGAGCGGUGAAAUGCGUAGAUAUCGGAAGGAACGCCGGUGGCGAAAGCGGGUCUCUGGGCCGAUACUGACGCUGAGGAGCGAAAGCGUGGGGAGCGAACAGG